RNAcentral lists this ribosomal RNA (456 nucleotides) under Acrobeloides sp. Sourhope farm. Its description in RNAcentral is "SSU rRNA". It matches the Rfam family "Eukaryotic small subunit ribosomal RNA", at positions 48 to 502 of the family's 1831-position model. Lineage: Eukaryota; Metazoa; Nematoda; Chromadorea; Rhabditida; Cephalobidae. The record is from RNAcentral.
GCCAUGCAUGUCUAAGUAUAAACGAUUUAAUCGUGAAACCGCGAAUGGCUCAUUAUAACAGCUAUAAUUUACUUGAUCUUGACACAAUCCUACUUGGAUAACUGUGGUAAUUCUAGAGCUAAUACAUGCAUUAAAGCUCUGACCUCACGGGAAGAGUGCAUUUAUUAGAACAAAACCAAGCGGCUUCGGCUGUUUCUGGUUGACUCAUAGUAACUGAGCUGAUCGCAUGGUCUUGCACCGGCGACGUGUCUUUCAAGUAUCUGCCGUAUCAACUUUCGAUGGUAGUGUAUCUGACUACCAUGGUGAUCACGCGUAACGGAGAAUAAGGGUUCGGCUCCGGAGAGUUCGCCUGAGAAAUCGCGAACACAUCUAAGGAAGGCAGCAGGCGCGAAAAUUACCCACUCUCAGCACGAGGAGGUAGUGACGAAAAAUAACGAGACCGUUCUCUUAUGAGGC